UUGAAACACAAGUUCCCAUAUGACCACUGAAGUUAAGCAACAUUGAGCCUGGUCAGUACCUAGAUGGGUGACUGCUUGGGAAUACCAGGUGCUGUAA
Acanthosepion pharaonis is the source of this 97-nucleotide non-coding RNA. The record is from the annotation of a GenBank genome assembly. Lineage: Eukaryota; Metazoa; Mollusca; Cephalopoda; Sepiida; Sepiidae.